CUGUGGAGUGUAAGGUUGACACCGUGUAUAAACUUUUUUCUAAAGAUCUCAUUCUAUACAAUAAAAAUUAAAUCUAUUUUUUAUAAAAUAAUUAUUAAUUUUAGAAUAGGUCAAAAAAUUUCAGAGAUGAAAAAUCCCCUAAGUGGCUCUAUCCACCGAGUACCACUUAUGCAUUUUCGUCUUUAUUUUUCCAAAUACUUGCCAAAUAUAGCGCCGUUGUAUGUUUUUUUCCCAUAAUUUAUUUAUGGAGAAUAUUUUAUAGAACCUAAUAUGUUAUAUUUUACAUUUACGAUUGGGGUCUCCUCAAAUUCAGCAAAGAAACGUUAUUUUAAAGCGAGCAGAGAAUGAAAUCUUCAGGCUAAGGUACAACACAACGAUGUUUGGUCGAAAAGCUUUGGUAAUUUCAUUUCAAUAUUUCGCAAAUUUACUUUUCCAUCAAUUAUUUGAUAAAUUUGCACCAAAUUCAGGCUGAUUUGUAGAAUUUCAGACGAAUGUUUGUUUGGAAAUAUUCAGUAAACUGAUUGGAGAUUGCAUCCUAUUUUGAUUUAAUAGAAUUUCAGCCAUUUUGACCUAAUUCCAGGCAUAUUUGGGUCAAAAUUUGAGUUCUUAAUUUUUUUAUUUUUAAUAUUUUUUUUGGGUUUUUGGAACUAAGUAUGAGGAGCCGAUAUUUUUACUGAAUUGCGGAGAAGACUGCUUGAGAAAAAUUCAUUUUUUAUUUGGAAAAUUGAGUGGAAUAAGGAAAGGAAAAACAUGAGAGUUGGUGUGGUGGUCAUUUUGAUGCCUCAUGUUUGGCAUUUGGGUAGACCUUAACCUUUAGACCUAAUAUUUAACAGAAUGAACUCGGAUUUUCUUUAAAUUAUUAUUUUAUUUGGACUUUUUUUUUUAAAUAACAUUGUGUAAUUGAGAAUCGCAAGUCCAAUUUCCAAAUUAUGUUUUGUGCUAAUCCAUGAGCUCUUAAUCCUUAAAAACUUUUCUACUAAAGGUACCCUCUGUCUGUGUAUGUGUGUGCCCCCAUAGUGAUAACCAAUGUUACGAGACCAAGUUUCUUGGACUUGUCUCCUUUGCAAACCGAGUUAGACCGAGAUACUCGGUGCAAACUCAGGGUAUAUCAGAAAAUAGAAAAAAAGUCUUUAAAAAUCUAUAAAACUAGGGUAUUGAUGUAUACAUUUUUUAUAUACGACUUGGAUGUUCUCAACUAUAAACCAAUUUUUUUAAAAAAUCUAUAUUUUAUAUACUUUCUAAAGAUAAUUUGAACUUUUUUUUUUUGGUAAGUUAAUUUGGACUUUGUUUUUGGUUUUAUUUGACCUACACCAUUUUUUUUAUUUUUAACAUAUUUCUUUUGUUUUGUUUUUUUUUUUGAAAUUUUCAAGGGCUUUUGGCCAUGUAGAAUACUCGGGCCAAGGCCCUGUACGUGGCCCGAGGAGAGCUAACUAUCUCCCUUUGGACACUCCACCUCCUAACAGGUGAUGCACUGAGUCUGCGCCACGCAGCACAUGGGCCAGCCCACCUAAUUUGGCUAGAAGAUUUUGGAAGGGUGGUUUCCUAAAAGAAAAUAAAUUACACCAAUUAGGGACUUAUAAAAAAGGCUAGGAUGUGGGGAGAUAGGUGCACAUUCCAAGAGAUAGACACCAUGUGAGGUUCCAUGGUCCUCUAGUGUUAUGGGUUUACUUUACACACACAGUGAUUUUUUGUUAAUAAAAUUGUGUGGUUAUGUUGUUGUUUUCUGUACAUAUCAUCUUCUUCACGUUUGGGUGCUUUCUGCUGCACUUAACUCUGGGAUAUCUGUGUGUAUCUAUAGGUUCCACCCUUGGAAACAUUGAACGCCUUAUUCUUGAACAAUUGUUGCAUGACUAAAUCCCACUCUCACCCAAAAAAAGAAAGCUUGGAAUGAACAUUUUUUUUGAUGAAUAUGCAAUCAUGUGUUAAUGUAUUUUUACAUAAACAUUUGAUAAAUGAACAUAUAUGUUCUUAGUGGAUGUAUAUGCAUACAUCUGUAACUUUGUAUAUAUGCAUCUAUUUUGACCAUGUGGUGGAUGUAUAUGUAUACGUUCUUGAGUUCUCCGUGCAUUAUGCUUAAUGAACAGUAUGAUAUCAUGUGCAUUCUUUGUACAUUUGGUUCUUGAUCUCACCAUAGGUAGGAUUUAAAUUCUU
Molecule: long non-coding RNA, 2151 nt
Filed under: Amborella trichopoda
Lineage: Eukaryota; Viridiplantae; Streptophyta; Magnoliopsida; Amborellales; Amborellaceae
Description: long non-coding RNA (ATRI_LNC004225)
Source: RNAcentral